Molecule: ribosomal RNA, 122 nt
Filed under: Escherichia coli
Lineage: Bacteria; Pseudomonadati; Pseudomonadota; Gammaproteobacteria; Enterobacterales; Enterobacteriaceae
Description: partial 23S ribosomal RNA
Rfam family: Bacterial large subunit ribosomal RNA
Source: RNAcentral
GGGUUGUGAGGUUAAGCGACUAAGCGUACACGGUGGAUGCCCUGGCAGUCAGAGGCGAUGAAGGACGUGCUAAUCUGCGAUAAGCGUCGGUAAGGUGAUAUGAACCGUUAUAACCGGCGAUU